RNAcentral lists this ribosomal RNA (1328 nucleotides) under Pareronia hippia. Its description in RNAcentral is "16S ribosomal RNA". The stretch from base 1076 to 1234 matches the Rfam family "Eukaryotic large subunit ribosomal RNA", at positions 2825 to 2984 of the family's 3401-position model. The record is from RNAcentral. Lineage: Eukaryota; Metazoa; Arthropoda; Insecta; Lepidoptera; Pieridae.
AAGGGGGGAAUUAAAAUAAUAAAAAAUAAAAGAAAAAUUUUUAAUAUUAAAAUAUUUAAUGGGGGUUAAAGUAUUUUAAUGGAAAAAAUUAAUUUUUUUAUAGUAAAAUAGUAUUGUGAAAGAAUUUUGAAAAAUUAUAAAAUAAAAAUUUAUUUUUAAGUAAAUUUAAUUUAUUGUAUCUUGUGUAUCAGAGUUUAUUAAUUAAUAUUUUUGGGGGAAAAUAUCUCGAAUUUUAAAGAGUUAAUUAAUUAAUAAAUUUAAUGUAGCAUAAUUAUUUUUAAUAAUUAAUUGGAAAUGAAAUGUUAAUCGUUUUAAAAAAUAUCUAGUUUUUUUAGAAAAAAAUUUAAUUUUAAAUUAAAUUUAAUUUAUUUAUUUAAUUUUUAAUAAAGAAAAAAUUUAAUUAAAUAUUUUAAGGGAUAAGCUUUAAAUUAAAUUUUUAUAAUAAAAUUUUAUAAAAUGAAAUUUUUAAAAUUAAAAUUUUUUAAGAAUUAUUGUUUUUUAUAAAUAAUUUCAUUUAAUUUAAAAUUAAAAUAAUUUAUUUAAUUUUUUAUAAAAAAUUAAUUUAUAAUAAAAAAAAAUUAGCAAUAAUGAUAAAAUUAGUAUAUAAAUAUAAAAAUUAAUUAAAAUUUAUUAUAAUUAAUGAAAAGGAAUUCGGCAAAAAUUUAUAUUCACUUGUUUAUCAAAAACAUGUCUUUUUGAAAAUAAUAUAAAGUCUAAUCUGCCCACUGAAAUUAUUUUAAAGGGCUGCAGUAUAUUGACUGUACAAAGGUAGCAUAAUCAAUAGUCUUUUAAUUGAAGACUUGUAUGAAUGAUUUAAUGAAAUAUAAACUGUCUCUUUAUUAAAAUUAGAAUUUAAUUUUUUAGUCAAAAAGCUAAAAUAAAUUUAAAAGACGAGAAGACCCUAUAGAGUUUUAUAUUUUUUAGUAUUUUAAUUUUAUAUAAAAUUUUAAAUUAAAAUAUUAAUAAAUAUUUUAUUGGGGUGAUAUAAAAAUUAAAAUAACUUUUUAAAAAAUUAAACAUUAAUUUAUGAGUAUUUGAUCCAUAAUUUAUGAUUAAAAGAAAAAAUUACCUUAGGGAUAACAGCGUUAUUUUUUCUUUUAGUUCAAAUAAAAGUUAAAGUUUGCGACCUCGAUGUUGGAUUAAGAUAAAAUUUAAAAGCAAAAUUUUAAAAUUUUGAUCUGUUCGAUCAUUAAAAUCUUACAUGAUCUGAGUUCAAACCGGUGUGAGCCAGGUUGGUUUCUAUCUUUAGAGAAAUAAAAUAAUUUAGUACGAAAGGAUCAAUUAUUUUAAAUAAUUUAAUUACAAUGAAUUUUAAUAAAAUAGUUUUA